UGGAAGAACAUUGUGCUGUAACAUGUACUGUAGCUUUAAGGGGAUAACUUUAUGUGUACAAUAUGUCGACAAGAUGACGGGCCAAUUUGCAUAUCGGUGUUUCACCCUUCAGGUCUUUCUUGUAUAGUAGUGUGUAAUGUUUACGUGUGUGUGUGUGUUGGCUGUGGCCUAUGUGGAGUGCUUGAGGCCUGCCUGCCUGCCUGCCUUCCUUCCACCCUCCUCCCUCCCUACCUCCCAGCCUGCCUGCCUGCCUACAGAGGAAGAGAAAAGCCGCCGAUGCAACAAGUCCUCCAUUGACUCCGCUUUGUUAAGCGAUCUUGCUGAAGUCGCCCCUGGGUGUCCUCCAGUUCAAGCUCCUGAGCACUGAGAAGAAGAAAAUGAGAUGACCUCUACUGGCUGAAGAUGGGAAGUUCCAUCAUUUAAACCAGGACUGAUAGAGCUGGGCAUGGUGGCCUUCAUCUGCCUGAGAGUCUCCUAGGAGCGAGGAGACAAAACCACUCCUCUGUCCUCCACAUCUCUUUGUUUCUCUCCGACCUCCUCCAGUUGUCGCUGAAUCACCUGGAUGGAGCACACAUUGGUGAGAUAUCAGUCAAAAAAAAGGUAAAUGACCAUGCUGUGUUUCGGUCCAAUGUGGCACCCAGCUGAUGAGGAGGUUGAUGUACGGACAAAAGGAAGUGAGGGACCAGAUCAUUACAAAACAAACAGUCUAAAAUAAAAAUGUAGAACUUAAAAGAAAGAUGUACUCACUUGCUCUGAUCUUAUGUUUCCAGCAAUGACGUUGUUUGGUUUUACAGUGACCUGCAGAAAAGUAUGCAAAAAAACAAACAAACUUUGAGACAAAAAACAACAAACUGUAGACUUUUUCCUUAAUCCUUCAAUAUAUUGUAAUUUUGUUAUUGUUUUACAUGCUUUGUGCCUAUAAAUAAAAUAUACGGUGCUCAUUCUUGACCUCUCAGCCAUACCGACCUUCGGCGCUGUCCUCCUUUCCCCCAUUGGGCGCCAUUGCAUCCUGUGCUGCAGGUUUCAAAUUGCAGUGAGCAUUCAGUUUUUCCACAGUCAUGUUUGCGUCUCCAAGAUCACUUGUUAGACUUCUAUCUGCAUGUUCCGAAUGAAUUUUGAAUUGUCGGUCUGAAAAUGAGAAAAGUAAGUAGGUAGGGAGUGUGAAUUGGCACUAAAGUACAAUGAGGAUGAACUGUUGUAGCCUCCUGUCUCAAUGAAAAAACCUUUUAUAGGUUACUAGUUACUGCACAUAUACAGUGCAUAUAUAUAGUAUAUAGUAAAUAUAGUAUGACUCUAGAGCAGGGGUGGGCAAACCUUCUGACUCGUGGGACACAUUGGAUUAAGAAAUUUGGGCAAAUUAGACAAAAAAACCAGCAUGCCUUGCGGCAAG
Doryrhamphus excisus (bluestripe pipefish) is the source of this 1390-nucleotide non-coding RNA. Lineage: Eukaryota; Metazoa; Chordata; Actinopteri; Syngnathiformes; Syngnathidae. The record is from RefSeq and is a predicted model, not a curated record.